Molecule: ribosomal RNA, 739 nt
Filed under: uncultured archaeon
Lineage: Archaea
Description: bacterial SSU rRNA
Rfam family: Archaeal small subunit ribosomal RNA
Source: RNAcentral
UUCCGGUUGAUCCCGCCGGACCCGACUGCUAUCAGAGUGGGACUAAGCCAUGCGAGUCAACAUAGCAAUAUGUGGCAUACGGCUCAGUAACACGUAGUCAACAUGCCCAGGGGACGUGGAUAACCUCGGGAAACUGAGGAUAAACCGCGAUAGGUCAUCACUUCUGGAAUGGGUAAUGACUUAAAUCUAUAUGGCCCCUGGAUUGGACUGCGGCCGAUCAGGCUGUUGGUGAGGUAAUGGCCCACCAAGCCUGUAACCGGUACGGGCUCUGAGAGGAGGAGCCCGGAGAUGGGCACUGAGACAAGGGCCCAGGCCCUAUGGGGCGCAGCAGGCGCGAAACCUCUGCAAUAGGCGAAAGCUUGACAGGGUUACUCUGAGUGAUUUCCGUUAAGGAGAUCUUUUGGCACCUCUAAAAAUGGUGCAGAAUAAGGGGUGGGCAAGUCUGGUGUCAGCCGCCGCGGUAAUACCAGCACCCCGAGUGGUCGGGACGUUUAUUGGGCCUAAAGCAUCCGUAGCCGGUUCUGCAAGUCUUCCGUUAAAUCCACCUGCUUAACAGAUGGGCCGCGGAAGAUACUAUAGAGCUAGGAGGCGGGAGAGGCAAGCGGUACUCGAUGGGUAGGGGUAAAAUCCGUUGAUCCAUUGAAGACCACCAGUGGCGAAGCGGCUUGCCAGAACGCGCUCGACGGUGAGGGAUGAAAGCUGGGGGAGCAAACCGGAUUAGAUACCCGGGUAGUCCCAG